UGUGAUGUGAACACCUCAUAUACAUAUAUUUUUCAUCCAACACCAAUGCCUCAUUGCCAAGCAAAUUGAACUCCCUUUGAAACCGCUUUUGAGCAUAUGUGUAAGUAGUAGUAUUAUACUGUAAUGCUGAAUACCUUCUAUAUUCCCCAUUUGGCCAUACAAUCAAGAAGAACAAUAGCAAUUGUCUAGCCUUUAUGAUCACAUACAUGCUUAAACCCAAUUAUCAGCUUCCUUAAAUGCCUAUUCACAUCAACAAAAUGCACUGUAACCACUAUGUAGCUCGUUCUUGUAGUUUGUGCCACUCAAAUGUCUGUUGUAAGUGAAAUCCUCUAAUUACAAACAUUAAACCACUCCCUCAAAC
Molecule: long non-coding RNA, 361 nt
Filed under: Brassica napus (rape)
Lineage: Eukaryota; Viridiplantae; Streptophyta; Magnoliopsida; Brassicales; Brassicaceae
Description: long non-coding RNA (BNAP_LNC027040)
Source: RNAcentral